GCUGAGUAGACGCCUGGAGAACUACCAGCAUGAACGUCCCAGGAGAAGUUGCUUUGAUCAUGGAACAGCCCCAGUGAAAGUGCAGAAUUUAUACCGAGGCCAUCAGCACAAGGAGUUCAAAAUGUAGGCUCAAGCAAGAAUGACAAGCAUGUCACCACUCCAAUAUUCCAUACCCACAG
RNAcentral lists this long non-coding RNA (179 nucleotides) under Gorilla gorilla gorilla (western lowland gorilla). RNAcentral's name for it is "lncRNA (ENSGGOG00000044557.1)". Lineage: Eukaryota; Metazoa; Chordata; Mammalia; Primates; Hominidae. The record is from RNAcentral.